AUGGUCCUGCGUCCUCACCACCUGACCUCCGGAGAAGCUCCUCCGACCCACCUCCCUCCCCGACCUCCGCUGCGCUCCCGCGCUCUUCGCCAUGGUCAUGCCCCCAUCCAUGCCGGUAGUGCAUGCUGGAUUAGGAGGUUGUACACGUACGUCUAUAUUUAUGUUCAAGUCGAGCUUCGUGAAUCAUGUAUGAUCAAGAACCUAUUGCCAUCAAUUCAAUCUCACAUGCAUGUGCUAGAUGCGGGAAGAAAUACUUCUCUUUUAAUUUGUAUAUGGAUGUGCGUAUUUAAUUUGUAUAUGGCUGUGCAUACGUAUGUAUGUACUGGCACAUCUUGCCGGAACCUGAUUGGGAAGUCAGAUUCGCUAAAUCUACGCGCCCGCGUCUUCGUGCCAUGUUAG
This 399-nucleotide ribosomal RNA is filed under the name Triticum aestivum (bread wheat). RNAcentral describes it as "partial small subunit ribosomal RNA". Lineage: Eukaryota; Viridiplantae; Streptophyta; Magnoliopsida; Poales; Poaceae. The record is from RNAcentral.